Arabidopsis lyrata subsp. lyrata is the source of this 804-nucleotide long non-coding RNA. RefSeq lists it as uncharacterized. The transcript is spliced from 2 exons. NCBI's taxonomy places the organism in Eukaryota, Viridiplantae, Streptophyta, Magnoliopsida, Brassicales, Brassicaceae. The record is from RefSeq and is a predicted model, not a curated record.
UUUCUGCUCUGAUGAUGGAGUACUUGGCGCCUGCGUCUUCUCACCAGAAGUUGAAGCUACUUUAAGAACUGCAGAAGCAUAGACACCUUUCCAUUACUAUCUUCUCAAGUUCCAGGUUCUCUAUAUUGCUACGGUAUAGAUGGAGAAGGAGAAGGUUAAGGUGAAGGAGAAGACAGAGGGGAAGAAGAAGAGAUUCGACCAAAGAAAAAGAUGAGAUCCAAUAAAGAAGAAGAAGGUGAGAGAAGAAGAAGAUGCGGAGAAGAAGAAGGUGAAAGAGAAGAAGAUGCGGAGAAUAAAAAGAGUGGCUAGAAUAUUAGGUUAGGUAGGGUUUUAAUUAUUUCGGUUUACCGUCCCGAACCGAACCGAAAAUUUCGGUUAACCGAAAUGAUUUUGAAAUCCCACCGAUCGGUUAUGAUCAAUUAACAUUAACCGAACCGAUUUGGCCAAACCUCGGUUCGGUUCGGUUCGGUUCGGAAAUCUGAUUGAUUAACCAAGUUCAGUUAUCAGCUAGACAACAUAAUAAUUCACCUAGAGAGAUUCCGGCACGGUUUCUCUCUGUUCCUCCAAACUCCGGCCGAUGGCGGUAGUUCCAGAGUGCUCGUGCGGUUCAGCGGAGUAACGGCGGCGAUUCCUUCUUUCUUUUAACUCGAGGUAUACACGUAUCAUUAUUUUUCAUGGGAUCAAAUUCUAGGGGCUCUCCAAGCUCAAUAUCUUUUCUCAAAUGCUCUUCUUCUAAAAAGAAAUUUCUUUUUAAUUUAUUUUAAAUCGAAAUAUGAGACAAAGACUUUGCAACCCUUUAAAAAA